RNAcentral lists this ribosomal RNA (464 nucleotides) under Haptophyta environmental samples. Its description in RNAcentral is "SSU rRNA". It matches the Rfam family "Eukaryotic small subunit ribosomal RNA", at positions 432 to 900 of the family's 1831-position model. The record is from RNAcentral. Lineage: Eukaryota; Haptophyta.
GCGCGUAAAUUGCCCGAAUCCUGACACAGGGAGGCAGUGACAAGAAAUAACAAUACAGGGCUUCUAAAGUCUUGUAAUUGGAAUGAGUACAAUUUACAUCUCUUCACGAGGAUCAAUUGGAGGGCAAGUCUGGUGCCAGCAGCCGCGGUAAUUCCAGCUCCAAUAGCGUAUAUUAAAGUUGUUGCAGUUAGAACGCUCGUAGUCGGAUUUCGGGGCGGGCCGACCGGUCUGCCGAUGGGUACGCACUGGUCGGCGCGUCCUUCCUUCCGGAGACCGUGCCUACUCUUAACUGAGCGGGGGCGGGAGACGGAUCGUUUACUUUGAAAAAAUCAGAGUGUUUCAAGCAGGCAGCUCGCUCUUGCAUGGAUUAGCAUGGAAUAAUGAAAUAGGACUUUGGUGCUAUUUUGUUGGUUUCGAACACCGAAGUAAUGAUUAACAGGGACAGUCAGGGGCACUCGUAUUCC